Molecule: ribosomal RNA, 207 nt
Filed under: uncultured bacterium
Lineage: Bacteria
Description: partial 16S ribosomal RNA
Rfam family: Bacterial small subunit ribosomal RNA
Source: RNAcentral
CGCGUAGGCGGUUUGUUAAGUCAGCUGUGAAAGCCCCGGGCUCAACCUGGGAAUUGCAGUUGAUACUGAUCGACUAGAGUACGAGAGAGGGAGGUAGAAUUCCACGUGUAGCGGUGAAAUGCGUAGAUAUGUGGAGGAAUACCGGUGGCGAAGGCGGCCUCCUGGCUCGAUACUGACGCUGAGGUGCGAAAGCGUGGGGAGCAAACA